Molecule: ribosomal RNA, 253 nt
Filed under: uncultured bacterium
Lineage: Bacteria
Description: partial 16S ribosomal RNA
Rfam family: Bacterial small subunit ribosomal RNA
Source: RNAcentral
UACGAAGGGUGCAAGCGUUACUCGGAAUUACCGGGCGUAAAGCGUGCGUAGGCGGUUUGUUAAGUCUGUCGUGAAAGCCCCGGGCUCAACCUGGGAAUGGCGAUGGAUACUGGCGAGCUAGAGUACGGUAGAGGAGAGUGGAAUUCCCGGUGUAGCAGUGAAAUGCGUAGAGAUCGGGAGGAACAUCAGUUGCGAAGGCGGCUCUCUGGACCAGUACUGACGCUGAGGCACGAAAGCGUGGGGAGCAAACAGG